GACAUUUGCUGAUGGUCAUUCCUGGGGUUUUGCAGAGGGGAGGGGAGCCCACCUCGGAUGCCCACCGUGAAGUCCGGAAGUCUGCCCGGUGCCAUGUCACGUGCUGCCAGUCCGAGGAAGGCGGACGGGUCAGGAGGCACUUUGGUGGGCUGCAUCCGACCCUCAAACGGGGCGAGGAAAUGGAGGGCCGCCGCCGCCGGCGCACUCUGAGUCUCCUAAGUGGAACGGUGACAUUUUCUGGGUUCUAAUGGGAGGAGCGCGGAGAAACACCAGCCGUGCUCUCGGCCGGGCACGGAUCGGACCCAACCCGCGCUCAUUUCUGCACCUGCAGCACACUAGUCGCUGAGAUUCUGAAGACCGACAGAGAGUGGCCGCUCAUCCAGUGACCCGUAAAACGUGCGAUCCCGCCGCAGUGAGGUCGGUUCCGGUCAAUGCGAAAUAAUCCUC
Brienomyrus brachyistius is the source of this 447-nucleotide long non-coding RNA. RefSeq lists it as uncharacterized. NCBI's taxonomy places the organism in Eukaryota, Metazoa, Chordata, Actinopteri, Osteoglossiformes, Mormyridae. The record is from RefSeq and is a predicted model, not a curated record. The transcript is spliced from 3 exons.